Molecule: long non-coding RNA, 1133 nt
Filed under: Numida meleagris (helmeted guineafowl)
Lineage: Eukaryota; Metazoa; Chordata; Aves; Galliformes; Numididae
Description: lncRNA (ENSNMEG00000020139.1)
Source: RNAcentral
GUGUAUUUAAAAAGAAAAAGGAAAGUCGUACAAUCAAAUACACAGGAUAAAACCCCUGAUUUGCAAUCCUAUAAUGAAAAAAAAACAAAAGUGUACAACCGCUCUUGUCUUUCAAACUGCUUCACUGUAUACCUUAACAUUUGGUAAAGAGGCUCUAAAGUUGUAAAUAUAUUAAAUAGAAAAUUCCAGGAUGGUACUGUGCACCUAGUUUGCUGUAUAAAUUGCUGUAUUUACAGUAUAAAUCAUAUGCCUAAGACAGGUAAAUUUAGGCACAAAAUGACCACAUGUAUAUCCAUACAUAAUUUUAAAAAACCUGGAUUUAGGAUUAGAAUAUUGAAUCUGGCAGGAAGAAACUGAAGCUCACCGGAUUUUUCAUUCCUGUAGUAACAGCAUUUUAUUUUUGUCCCUUGCAAUAUAAAUGAGUUUAGUGUGUCCAACAUGUGAAAUACCUUUAGGACAGAACUGACUUUCCUAAAUUAAAGGAGAGAUGGAUGGAACCAUUGAGUUCAUGAUCAUGCAACCACUUUGACUUCUCUCCAGAGCAUGCAGUACUUAGGAAAAGAAUGUAAACUGCAAAUUAAACCCUCAGUUAUCCUCAGCAACCUGACAGUCUGGCCCAAGAAAUACCGCUAAGUCCAGCAGAUUGGGAAAGUGCUGUGUUCAUCGCACAGAGGUGUGAAGAAAGUGGCCCGCCCAAGCUCAUCUCACAGGGCACAGCUGGUGAACUGUACACAACAAGGGGAAACAAGCAGGCUUUGGGGGAGGAGGUUGGCUGAUAAAGAAAACAUCCAGUUCUGUACCAGUAACACACGUGGUCUUCUGUACCAGUUUCUCCUUGCAUGGGAAAGACAAAGAUGGAAGAAUAGAAAUAUAUGAUAAAGUGAGCACCUGACUGAAAGUAGAUAUGAAUUGAAAAAUCAGAGCUUGAUCUCACAAAGCAAGUAAAAUGUGGAAACGAGAUUUGCCCUUCACUCCACUGCUACGGCUAGCUGAAAAGAUUCAGAUACCAACCAGCACCACACUGAUAUUUAGAAGUUAAUAAGUAACUGCCACAGCUGCAACUGAAACACCAACCUACGCACAGCACUUCACAGCACGUUCCUUUAAAUACAGCUAUAAGCAUGUCACACUGA